Molecule: ribosomal RNA, 479 nt
Filed under: uncultured bacterium
Lineage: Bacteria
Description: partial 16S ribosomal RNA
Rfam family: Bacterial small subunit ribosomal RNA
Source: RNAcentral
UGAACGCUGGCGGCGUGCUUAACACAUGCACGUCGAACGAAACACCUUAUUUGAUUUUCUUCGGAACUGAGGAUUUGGUGAUUGAGUGGCGGACGGGUGAGUAACGCGUGGGUAACCUGCCCUGUACAGGGGGAUAACAGUCAGAAAUGACUGCUAAUACCGCAUAAGACCACAGCACCGCAUGGUGCAGGGGUAAAAACUCCGGUGGUACAGGAUGGACCCGCGUCUGAUUAGCUGGUUGGUGAGGUAACGGCUCACCAAGGCGACGAUCAGUAGCCGGCUUGAGAGAGUGAACGGCCACAUUGGGACUGAGACACGGCCCAAACUCCUACGGGAGGCAGCAGUGGGGAAUAUUGCACAAUGGGGGAAACCCUGAUGCAGCGACGCCGCGUGAGUGAAGAAGUAUUUCGGUAUGUAAAGCUCUAUCAGCAGGGAAGAAAAUGACGGUACCUGACUAAGAAGCCCCGGCUAACUACGUG